Transfer RNA from Methanosphaera stadtmanae DSM 3091, 72 nucleotides. It matches the Rfam family "tRNA". Rfam says of the family: Transfer RNA (tRNA) molecules are approximately 80 nucleotides in length. Lineage: Archaea; Methanobacteriati; Methanobacteriota; Methanobacteria; Methanobacteriales; Methanobacteriaceae. The record is from Rfam.
GCCUUAGUGGCUCAGGGGUAGAGCGAUGCCUUGGUAAGGCAUAGGUCGAGGGUUCAAUUCCCCCCUAAGGCU